RNAcentral lists this ribosomal RNA (248 nucleotides) under uncultured bacterium. RNAcentral's name for it is "partial 16S ribosomal RNA". It matches the Rfam family "Bacterial small subunit ribosomal RNA", at positions 523 to 769 of the family's 1533-position model. The record is from RNAcentral.
AUACGGAGGGUGCGAGCGUUGUUCGGAAUUAUUGGGCGUAAAGCGUCGUGUAGGCGGUUUGUUAAGUCUGAUGUGAAAGCCCCGGGCUCAACCUGGGAAGUGCAUUGGAUACUGGCAGACUUGAAUACGGGAGAGGGCAGUGGAAUUCCUGGUGUAGGAGUGAAAUCCGUAGAUAUCAGGAGGAACACCGGUGGCGAAGGCGGCUGCCUGGACCGAUAUCGACGCUGAGACGCGAAAGCGUGGGUAGC